Molecule: long non-coding RNA, 253 nt
Filed under: Pan troglodytes (chimpanzee)
Lineage: Eukaryota; Metazoa; Chordata; Mammalia; Primates; Hominidae
Description: long non-coding RNA NONPTRT010842
Source: RNAcentral
CGGAUGCGCUGAACUCCGGGGAGGGGAUGGGCAGGAGAGAGAGCACACUCCUGGAGCCGCGACGUCCAAACCCGGACGCACUUGAACCCGCAGCGAGGCCCGUGGCCCGCGGCCUUCGGAGAGCACCCGCGCCCCGCGCAGACCGGACGCCGGCCUUGCCCGAUCCUCGGCAUCCUUCGGCGGGGCGAUACGUGAUCAUUUAACACGCGGGUGUUAAGUUCAUUCUUGCUGCAAAAGAAGGCCAUUGUACCUC